RNAcentral lists this ribosomal RNA (1312 nucleotides) under metagenome. Its description in RNAcentral is "bacterial LSU rRNA". It matches the Rfam family "Bacterial large subunit ribosomal RNA", at positions 1564 to 2885 of the family's 2925-position model. The record is from RNAcentral.
UGAAUACGAGAUGCUACGGCGUCGAAGCAGUCUAUGUCAUACUUCCAAGAAAAGCUUGCACUGUCAUAAACAAAUAAUGCCUGUACCAUAACCGACACAGGUGGGUAGGUAGAGUAUACUAAGGGGCGCGAGAUAACUCUCUCUAAGGAACUCGGCAAAAUGACUCCGUAACUUCGGGAGAAGGAGUGCCUUAUUUAUAAGGUUGCAAUAACAAGAUCCAAGCAACUGUUUACCAAAAACACAGGUCUCCGCUAAGUCGUAAGACGAUGUAUGGGGGCUGACGCCUGCCCAGUGCCAGAAGGUUAAAGAAGUUGGUUAGCACCCGCGAAGCUGAUAACUGAAGCCCUGGUGAACGGCGGCCGUAACAAUAACGGUCCUAAGGUAGCGAAAUUCCUUGUCGGGUAAGUUCCGACCCGCACGAAAGGCGUAAUGAUUUGGAUACUGUCUCGGAGAGGGGCUCGGUGAAAUAGACUUGUCUGUGAAGAUGCGGACUACCUGCACCAGGACAGAAAGACCCUAUGAAGCUUUACUGUAACCUGAAAUUGAAAUUGGACUUUACUUGCGCAGUAUAGGUGGGAGGCGUUGAGAAUAUCCUUGCGGGAUUAUUGGAGCCAUCAGUGAGAUACCACUCUUGUAAUGUUAGAUUUCUAACUUUGUAUCAUUAUCUGGUCAAAGAACAGUUUCAGGCGGGCAGUUUGACUGGGGCGGUCGCCUCCUAAACGGUAACGGAGGCGCACAAAGGUUUCCUCUGAACGGGUAGAAAUCGUAUCUAGAGUGUAAAGGCAUAAGGAAGCUUGACUGUGAGACCUACAAGUCGAGCAGGGACGAAAGUCGGUCUUAGUGAUCUGACGGUGCUGAGUGGAAAGGCCGUCACUCAACGGAUAAAAGUUACUCUAGGAUAACAGGCUGAUCUCCCCCAAGAGUUCACAUCGACGGGGAGGUUUGGCACCUCGAUGUCGGCUCAUCGCAUCCUGGGGCGGUAGUACGUCCCAAGGGUUGGGCUGUUCGCCCAUGAAAGCGGUACGCGAGCUGGGUUCAGAACGUCGUGAGACAGUUCGGUCCAUAUCCGGUGUAGGCGUUAGAAUAUUGAGAGGAGCCUUCUUUAGUACGAGAGGACCGAGAAGGACAUACCUCUGGUGUACCAGUUAUCGUGCCAACGGUAAACGCUGGGUAGCUAUGUGUGGAGUGGAUAACCGCUGAAAGCAUCUAAGUGGGAAGCCCACCUCAAGAUGAGUGCUCUCACAGGGUUAUCCUGGUAAGGUCACAGGAAGACCACCCGUUAAUAGGCACUAGGUGGAAGUCCAGUAAUGGA